CCUACGGGAGGCUGCAGUGAGGAAUAUUGGUCAAUGGGCGAGAGCCUGAACCAGCCAAGUCGCGUGAGGGAGUACUGCCCUAUGGGUUGUAAACCUCUUUUGUCGGGGAGCAACAGCCGGACGUGUCCGGCUGUGAGAGUACCCGAAGAAAAAGCAUCGGCUAACUCCGUGCCAGCAGCCGCGGUAAUACGGAGGAUGCGAGCGUUAUCCGGAGUUUUUGGGUUUAAAGGGUGAGCAGGCGGAUUUUUAAGUCAGCGGUCAAAUUGUGGGGCUCAACCCCGUCCAGCCGUUGAAACUGGGGAUCUAGAGUGGGCGAGAGGUAGGCGGAAUGCGUGGUGUAGCGGUGAAAUGCAUAGAUAUCACGCAGAACCCCGAUUGCGAAGGCAGCAUACCGGUGCACAACUGACGCUCAGGCACGAAAGCGUGGGUAUCGAACAGGAUUAGAUACCCUGGUAGUC
Molecule: ribosomal RNA, 458 nt
Filed under: uncultured bacterium
Lineage: Bacteria
Description: partial 16S ribosomal RNA
Rfam family: Bacterial small subunit ribosomal RNA
Source: RNAcentral